Molecule: ribosomal RNA, 403 nt
Filed under: uncultured bacterium
Lineage: Bacteria
Description: bacterial SSU rRNA
Rfam family: Bacterial small subunit ribosomal RNA
Source: RNAcentral
GGGGAAUAUUGGGCAAUGGGCGAAAGCCUGACCCAGCAACGCCGCGUGAGGGAAGAAGGGUUUCGGCUCGUAAACCUCUGUCCUAUGGGACGAAGGAAGUGACGGUACCAUAGGAGGAAGCCCCGGCUAACUACGUGCCAGCAGCCGCGGUAAUACGUAGGGGGCGAGCGUUGUCCGGAAUGAUUGGGCGUAAAGGGCGCGUAGACGGCCUGCUAAGUCUGGAGUGAAAGUCCUGCUUUCAAGGUGGGAAUUGCUUUGGAUACUGGUGGGCUGGAGUGCAGGAGAGGAAAGCGGAAUUACCGGUGUAGCGGUGAAAUGCGUAGAGAUCGGUAGGAACACCAGUGGCGAAGGCGGCUUUCUGGACUGAAACUGACGCUGAGGCGCGAAAGCGUGGGGAGCAAAC